ACGGGAGACACACGGCGGGUGCUAACGUCCGUCGUGAAGAGGGAAACAACCCAGACCGCCAGCUAAGGUCCCAAAGUCAUGGUUAAGUGGGAAACGAUGUGGGAAGGCCCAGACAGCCAGGAUGUUGGCUUAGAAGCAGCCAUCAUUUAAAGAAAGCGUAAUAGCUCACUGGUCGAGUCGGCCUGCGCGGAAGAUGUAACGGGGCUAAACCAUGCACCGAAGCUGCGGCAGCGACGCUUAUGCGUUGUUGGGUAGGGGAGCGUUCUGUAAGCCUGCGAAGGUGUGCUGUGAGGCAUGCUGGAGGUAUCAGAAGUGCGAAUGCUGACAUAAGUAACGAUAAAGCGGGUGAAAAGCCCGCUCGCCGGAAGACCAAGGGUUCCUGUCCAACGUUAAUCGGGGCAGGGUGAGUCGACCCCUAAGGCGAGGCCGAAAGGCGUAGUCGAUGGGAAACAGGUUAAUAUUCCUGUACUUGGUGUUACUGCGAAGGGGGGACGGAGAAGGCUAUGUUGGCCGGGCGACGGUUGUCCCGGUUUAAGCGUGUAGGCUGGUUUUCCAGGCAAAUCCGGAAAAUCAAGGCUGAGGCGUGAUGACGAGGCACUACGGUGCUGAAGCAACAAAUGCCCUGCUUCCAGGAAAAGCCUCUAAGCAUCAGGUAACAUCAAAUCGUACCCCAAACCGACACAGGUGGUCAGGUAGAGAAUACCAAGGCGCUUGAGAGAACUCGGGUGAAGGAACUAGGCAAAAUGGUGCCGUAACUUCGGGAGAAGGCACGCUGAUAUGUAGGUGAAGUCCCUCGCGGAUGGAGCUGAAAUCAGUCGAAGAUACCAGCUGGCUGCAACUGUUUAUUAAAAACACAGCACUGUGCAAACACGAAAGUGGACGUAUACGGUGUGACGCCUGCCCGGUGC
RNAcentral lists this ribosomal RNA (908 nucleotides) under Escherichia coli. Its description in RNAcentral is "partial 23S ribosomal RNA". It matches the Rfam family "Bacterial large subunit ribosomal RNA", at positions 977 to 1869 of the family's 2925-position model. Lineage: Bacteria; Pseudomonadati; Pseudomonadota; Gammaproteobacteria; Enterobacterales; Enterobacteriaceae. The record is from RNAcentral.